CGUGUAGGUGUGUGUUCCAGGUAAAUCCGGUUCACUUUAACACUGAGGCGUGACGACGAGGCACUACGGUGCUGAAGCAACAAAUGCCCUGCUUCCAGGAAAAGCCUCUAAGCAUCAGGUAACAUCAAAUCGUACCCCAAACCGACACAGGUGGUCAGGUAGAGAAUACCAAGGCGCUUGAGAGAACUCGGGUGAAGGAACUAGGCAAAAUGGUGCCGUAACUUCGGGAGAAGGCACGCUGACACGUAGGUGAAGUGAUUUACUCAUGGAGCUGAAGUCAGUCGAAGAUACCAGCUGGCUGCAACUGUUUAUUAAAAACACAGCACUGUGCAAACACGAAAGUGGACGUAUACGGUGUGACGCCUGCCCGGUGCCGGAAGGUUAAUUGAUGGGGUCAGCGCAAGCGAAGCUCCUGAUCGAAGCCCCGGUAAACGGCGGCCGUAACUAUAACGGUCCUAAGGUAGCGAAAUUCCUUGUCGGGUAAGUUCCGACCUGCACGAAUGGCGUAAUGAUGGCCAGGCUGUCUCCACCCGAGACUCAGUGAAAUUGAACUCGCUGUGAAGAUGCAGUGUACCCGCGGCAAGACGGAAAGACCCCGUGAACCUUUACUAUAGCUUGACACUGAACAUUGAGCCUUGAUGUGUAGGAUAGGUGGGAGGCUUUGAAGUGUGGACGCCAGUCUGCAUGGAGCCGACCUUGAAAUACCACCCUUUAAUGUUUGAUGUUCUAACGUGGACCCGUAAUCCGGGUUGCGGACAGUGUCUGGUGGGUAGUUUGACUGGGGCGGUCUCCUCCUAAAGAGUAACGGAGGAGCACGAAGGUUGGCUAAUCCUGGUCGGACAUCAGGAGGUUAGUGCAAUGGCAUAAGCCAGCUUGACUGCGAGCGUGACGGCGCGAGCAGGUGCGAAAGCAGGUCAUAGUGAUCCGGUGGUUCUGAAUGGAAGGGCCAUCGCUCAACGGAUAAAAGGUACUCCGGGGAUAACAGGCUGAUACCGCCCAAGAGUUCAUAUCGACGGCGGUGUUUGGCACCUCGAUGUCGGCUCAUCACAUCCUGGGGCUGAAGUAGGUCCCAAGGGUAUGGCUGUUCGCCAUUUAAAGUGGUACGCGAGCUGGGUUUAGAACGUCGUGAGACAGUUCGGUCCCUAUCUGCCGUGGGCGCUGGAGAACUGAGGGGGGCUGCUCCUAGUACGAGAGGACCGGAGUGGACGCAUCACUGGUGUUCGGGUUGUCAUGCCAAUGGCACUGCCCGGUAGCUAAAUGCGGAAGAGAUAAGUGCUGAAAGCAUCUAAGCACGAAACUUGCCCCGA
RNAcentral lists this ribosomal RNA (1307 nucleotides) under Salmonella enterica subsp. enterica serovar Virchow. RNAcentral's name for it is "partial 23S ribosomal RNA". It matches the Rfam family "Bacterial large subunit ribosomal RNA", at positions 1517 to 2802 of the family's 2925-position model. The record is from RNAcentral. Lineage: Bacteria; Pseudomonadati; Pseudomonadota; Gammaproteobacteria; Enterobacterales; Enterobacteriaceae.